This is a non-coding RNA of Paramuricea clavata, 393 nucleotides long. Lineage: Eukaryota; Metazoa; Cnidaria; Anthozoa; Malacalcyonacea; Plexauridae. The record is from the annotation of a GenBank genome assembly.
AUGAAAAAGAAUCCACUACCAGCGAAUUAAGUUAUGACUUAUGUACAGUAUCAUCUAUAAAUUAUACAUUUCCUCUGCCUGACAAAGGAAGACAAAAUUUUACUAAUUUCUCUUGCAAAUGUUCCUCCAAAUUCAAGCGAAAUUUAAUCAAUUUGUCCUUGGGCAAUGUGCAAUUAGUCCCACAAAUUUUAUCGUAUAAAUAUUUUUGAUAUUAUUGAUAUAUUUUUGAUAAGUUAUCGCGCUGACAGACAAACAUGCACUCGCAGAUGAAAACAUAAGCUUCUGGCGGAGAUAAUGAAAUUAGAGCUGCUCCCGAUUAAUCGAUUAUUUUUCCACAAUCGAUUAUGCUUAAUAGUAAUCCGAUCAUCUAUAACACCACACAGCGUGAUGCGG